RNAcentral lists this transfer RNA (65 nucleotides) under Heterocypris spadix. RNAcentral describes it as "tRNA-Leu1". It matches the Rfam family "tRNA". From Rfam's summary of the family: Transfer RNA (tRNA) molecules are approximately 80 nucleotides in length. Their secondary structure includes four short double-helical elements and three loops (D, anti-codon, and T loops). Further hydrogen bonds mediate the characteristic L-shaped molecular structure. tRNAs have two regions of fundamental functional importance: the anti-codon, which is responsible for specific mRNA codon recognition, and the 3' end, to which the tRNAs corresponding amino acid is attached (by aminoacyl-tRNA synthetases). tRNAs cope with the degeneracy of the genetic code in two manners: having more than one tRNA (with a specific anti-codon) for a particular amino acid; and 'wobble' base-pairing, i.e. permitting non-standard base-pairing at the 3rd anti-codon position. Lineage: Eukaryota; Metazoa; Arthropoda; Ostracoda; Podocopida; Cyprididae. The record is from RNAcentral.
AUCAGGUUGGCAGAAUUAAUGCAAUAGAUUUAGAAUCUAUUUAUGUAAGUAGAUUACACGUGAUA